GCCUGGCUGGCUCAGUUGGUUAGAGCAUGGUGCCAGUAACACCAAGGUUGCAGGUUCAAUCCCUGUAUGGGACA
Podarcis lilfordi (Lilford's wall lizard) is the source of this 74-nucleotide non-coding RNA. The record is from the annotation of a GenBank genome assembly. NCBI's taxonomy places the organism in Eukaryota, Metazoa, Chordata, Lepidosauria, Squamata, Lacertidae.